AACGAACGCUGGCGGCGUGCCUAACACAUGCAAGUCGUGCGAGAAAGUUCCUUCGGGAGCGAGUAAAAGCGGCGCACGGGUGAGUAACACGUAGGUAACCUGCCCCCCAGUCUGGAACAACUAGAGGAAACUCUAGCUAAUGCCGGAUGAGACCACGAUCCCUUCGGGGGUUGCGGCCAAAGAUGGCCUCUACUUGUAAGCUAUCGCUGAGGGAUGGGCCUGCGGGCCAUUAGCUUGUUGGUGAGGUAACGGCUCACCAAGGCUGUGAUGGCUAGCUGGUCUGAGAGGAUGACCAGCCACACUGGGACUGAGACACGGCCCAGACUCCUACGGGAGCAGCAGUGGGGAAUAUUGCGCAAUGGGCGAAAGCCUGACGCAGCGACGCCGCGUGGGUGAUGAA
Molecule: ribosomal RNA, 400 nt
Filed under: uncultured bacterium
Lineage: Bacteria
Description: bacterial SSU rRNA
Rfam family: Bacterial small subunit ribosomal RNA
Source: RNAcentral